RNAcentral lists this ribosomal RNA (484 nucleotides) under uncultured bacterium. RNAcentral describes it as "partial 16S ribosomal RNA". It matches the Rfam family "Bacterial small subunit ribosomal RNA", at positions 29 to 507 of the family's 1533-position model. The record is from RNAcentral.
AUUGAACGCUGGCGGCAUGCUUUACACAUGCAAGUCGAACGGCAGCGCGGGCUUCGGCCUGGCGGCGAGUGGCGAACGGGUGAGUAAUGCAUAGGAACGUGCCCAGUAGUGGGGGAUAGCGCGGCGAAAGGCGGAUUAAUACCGCAUACGACCUGAGGGUGAAAGCGGGGGACCGAAAGGCCUCGCGCUAUUGGAGCGGCCGAUGUCGGAUUAGCUAGUUGGUGGGGUAAAGGCUUACCAAGGCGACGAUCCGUAGCUGGUCUGAGAGGACGACCAGCCACACUGGGACUGAGACACGGCCCAGACUCCUACGGGAGGCAGCAGUGGGGAAUUUUGGACAAUGGGGGCAACCCUGAUCCAGCCAUGCCGCGUGCGUGAAGAAGGCCUUCGGGUUGUAAACCGCUUUUGUUCGGGAAGAAAUCCUCUGGGCUAAUACCCCGGGGGUAUGACGGUACCGGAAGAAUAAGCACCGGCUAACUACGUG